RNAcentral lists this ribosomal RNA (305 nucleotides) under uncultured bacterium. RNAcentral's name for it is "bacterial SSU rRNA". It matches the Rfam family "Bacterial small subunit ribosomal RNA", at positions 336 to 634 of the family's 1533-position model. The record is from RNAcentral.
CUCCUACGGGGGCAGCAGUAGGGAAUCUUCCACAAUGGGCGAAAGCCUGAUGGAGCAACGCCGCGUGUGUGAUGAAGGGUUUCGGCUCGUAAAACACUGUUGUAAGAGAAGAAUGACAUUGAGAGUAACUGUUCAAUGUGUGACGGUAUCUUACCAGAAAGGAACGGCUAAAUACGUGCCAGCAGCCGCGGUAAUACGUAUGUUCCAAGCGUUAUCCGGAUUUAUUGGGCGUAAAGCGAGCGCAGACGGUUAUUUAAGUCUGAAGUGAAAGCCCUCAGCUCAACUGAGGAAUUGCUUUGGAAACU